RNAcentral lists this ribosomal RNA (400 nucleotides) under phytoplankton environmental sample. RNAcentral describes it as "partial small subunit ribosomal RNA". It matches the Rfam family "Eukaryotic small subunit ribosomal RNA", at positions 587 to 978 of the family's 1831-position model. The record is from RNAcentral.
AGCUCCAAUAGCGUAUAUUAAAGUUGCUGCAGUUAAAAAGCUCGUAGUUGGAUUUGUGGCGUGGUCGUCCGGCGGGGCUCCUUCAUUGGGGCCGUUUGUCUGGUUUUUCGACCGCACCAUUCUCGGGUAGUGUGUCGCUGGCAUUAGGUUGUCGGCUUCUUCACGCCCGUCGUUUACUGUGAAAAAAUUAGAGUGUUCAAAGCAGGCUUAGGCCGUUGGAUACAUUAGCAUGGAAUAAUGAGAUAGGGCCACGACGGUCUAUUUUGUUGGUUUGCACGUUGUGGUAAUGAUUAACAGGAACGGUUGGGGGUAUUCGUAUUCAAUUGUCAGAGGUGAAAUUCUUGGAUUUAUGGAAGACGAACUACUGCGAAAGCAUUUACCAAGGAUGUUUUCAUUAAUC